RNAcentral lists this ribosomal RNA (468 nucleotides) under uncultured bacterium. RNAcentral describes it as "partial 16S ribosomal RNA". It matches the Rfam family "Bacterial small subunit ribosomal RNA", at positions 28 to 507 of the family's 1533-position model. The record is from RNAcentral.
GACGAACGCUGGCGGCGUGCUUAACACAUGCAAGUCGAACGGAAAGGCCCUGCUUUUGUGGGGUGCUCGAGUGGCGAACGGGUGAGUAACACGUGAGUAACCUGCCCUUGACUUUGGGAUAACUUCAGGAAACUGGGGCUAAUACCGGAUAGGAGCUCCUGCUGCAUGGUGGGGGUUGGAAAGUUUCGGCGGUUGGGGAUGGACUCGCGGCUUAUCAGCUUGUUGGGGGGGUAGUGGCUUACCAAGGCUUUGACGGGUAGCCGGCCUGAGAGGGUGACCGGCCACAUUGGGACUGAGAUACGGCACCGACUCCUACGGGAGGGAGCGGUGGCGAAUAUUGCGCAAUGGGAGGAAGCCUAAUGCAGCAACGCCGCGUGCGGGAUGACGGCCUUCGGGUUGUAAAACGCUUUCGCCUGUGACGAAGCGUGAGUGAUGGUAAUGGGUAAAGAAGCACCGGCUAACUACGUG